AUGGCCGGAAGGGUGGCCGACUUCCUCCCCUUGACCGGCGCCCUGGUGUCCGGGAAGCAGCCGUCGGCCGUCAGGUCGGCCACCUCCCCGAACUCCGACACGCUGAUCGGGAACGGCAGCAGGUGCCCUCCCAGGUCCUCCACCCUGUCCCGCGUGUACGCGUCCCACAGCGCCUCCGCCGCGCGCCGCACCGCGCGCACGCACUCCGCGCUCUCGGGCUCCAGGAACACGCCCUCGCCGGCGCCGGCGCCCGUGUGGCUCAUGAAGUGCUCGUGCCACAGCGACAUCCGGAACCCGUGCACGAGCCCCCGGGCGCGCCCGCCGCCCGGCCCGUUCAGGUGCGCCGGCUGGUAG
Molecule: ribosomal RNA, 354 nt
Filed under: Triticum aestivum (bread wheat)
Lineage: Eukaryota; Viridiplantae; Streptophyta; Magnoliopsida; Poales; Poaceae
Description: partial small subunit ribosomal RNA
Source: RNAcentral